GAACUUUUCAUCCUGAAUUCCUGCGCAGUCUCUGUCGCCUCCUGGACCCGGGCCAAAACGCAGAGCGGGUUUGUGCUGGUUGUGAGAGAGCUGCAGUUGUACUUUGUUAGUACACUUCCUCACCUGUGCUUCCUGAUGUGAAGAUAUACAGAGCUGUGUUUCUUCUGUUAGUGACAACUUUAAGAUGUUCUCUUGAAGCUUCACACCUGUAGUGUUUCACUGGUGACUGCGUGGCUAGACAUCCAGCUGAAGACUCCUUUCUGUCUCCGGGAUGUCCCAGGACUUGAUCUACCCAUGGCCAAGGACCGGAACAUUGCAAUAACUGAGGAAAAUGAAGCACCUAUGGAACUCACCCCUGUGGAAAAGCACAUACUGAAAAUCUCUGGAUUCAGGAUUGGAGCCUGGAGCCUGCAGUUAGAAGACAGACAGUGCCAAAGGGGACAAGGCUUGUGGCAGAAGGGAGGUUUGUUCCCUGUGCAACUUAAGAAGGUGCAGAGGUACUUGCUGGAGGAAAAGGGAGCCUUGGGGACUGGAUUGCUUGAUAAAAGGUGUAGGACAGUGAGAGUGGAAAGAAAAUUAGGGUUUCCUCAGGCAGCUGGCUGUUGGAAGAGGGUUCCCAAGGCAGAAGCAUCUUUUUGUGUAGGAGGCUGGAGGGUAUCAAAUCCCAGAAAACAAAAGAAUGGGGGAUGGGAGGCUAGAAACUAAGAGCACGGAGAUGGAGGAGUACAGACAAUGUGGCUGGAGUUUUGUUAGCUUUUAUUUUAAACAAACUUUCAAACUGAUUUUGUCUCCAGCCACGGGCCGGGAUGCUGCAGUUGCAUUACCGUGGGUUGACUUUAACUAGAGCCCAAAUAUUUUAGUUAAAUUAACCAUGUCCUCCUGACUACUGACUGCUGCUUAAACUUUCAUUAUCAUGUGGGGUUUUCGUUUGUUUUGUUUUAAAUUGGUGGGGAUUCUAAGGUACAUAUGGUCAAAUUCUACCCCAGUUACGCCUCAAUAAAUCGGGAGUAAAGUUGAUGAUUCAAAUUGAGUUUGUGAGGUCUUGGCAAACAAAAAUGAAGCCAUAAUGAGCUAUUUUAAACAAUAUAAACUGGAAACAGCGAAUGAACUACAUUGGACUAUGAGCUCACAGGAGACUUUUAACAUCUUAGGACUUCUGCCACAGCUUCCCCUUUUUUCUUGCAUACCUUCUCGAUACAUUUCAAGAAAAUUCCCUUGUGCUUUCACUUGGUGCAGAGGGGUUUGCCAUGGUACUGGGCCUCCUGGCCACAUGGGGAACUGCUGCCCUUGGAGGGUAAGUGUCCUUUUCUGGGUAUGGCCACUGCUGGAGAUAUGCUACUCCUCUUUGCCAGCUGUGCUUAUCCUAUGCUUUCAACCCCUCAGCUAAUGGCACUGCCACAAACUCUGCUUCAUAUUCCACCUGCUGUUUUCCUAAUUUCCCAGCCUUUUGAGAAACUCUCUCCUAAUUUUUGCAUUCCUCUUUUCUUUAGACCUCAGCAAUCCUCUCCUUUUCAUACAGCUCUUUGUGAUUUAAGAAAAAUAUCAAUGCCACUUUGCUCUUAGCAGCAGGAAUAAAAACAGAUGGAAAGAUCAUGUGCCUAUUGAUAUUUCCAACACUGUACCUGUAUGGUGGAGUGGCUGUUUUGCUUCUUUUCCUGCUCUUUGGAUCAGUAGCUGGUUUUCUUUCUGUAAAGCAGCUUGAAAGCUUUGCUAUGAAAGAAUGGAAUCCUAUCAACUGACAUGUCAGAAAAGCAUCAUGACUUUGAAGUAGAUUUUUUGAUUAGGUAGUGAUUUUCCAUACAGAACAAAUCCCUAAUAAUAGUAAGUGGCUGCCCUCUUCAUCCUCUCUGGCUUAAAUUCAUCAUUUUCUGUUUUUUCUGUAAGUCAAUAGAGGCCUUGUUCCUUUCCUGGGAGAUGCGACACCUGCUCCAAAAUAGUUGCUCCUAUGCAUACUGUUACAACAGACUCUAUGUGUAAGUAUCUAUGCCUGUAUCUACUCCUAUGUCUAUGCCCAUGCCUACACCUAUGCCGACACCUGUACUGAUAGCUAUAUCUAUAUAAUUUGUAUCAUUUAUAUAUCUCAGAGAAUUUGGGAUUGAUUUGAUGACCAA
This is a long non-coding RNA of Tyto alba (common barn owl), 2111 nucleotides long. RefSeq lists it as uncharacterized. Lineage: Eukaryota; Metazoa; Chordata; Aves; Strigiformes; Tytonidae. The record is from RefSeq and is a predicted model, not a curated record. The transcript is spliced from 5 exons.